CUCUGGAUCUUGGUAGAGAAGCUGCUGGCUUAUAUAAACUGGCUUGGGUUCCUCCUUCCCUUUCUUCCUCUAUUAGUUGUUCAUCUAAUUCUGCAUGUUCUGUGUCUGCUUCUCGUAAUGAUGACUUUUUUGUCUGAUAACAAGGUUGUUCCCUUGCCCUCAAAUGUACAUAGUUCCAUCUGUAAUAAUGUUGUUACAACUGACAUGAA
RNAcentral lists this long non-coding RNA (209 nucleotides) under Nicotiana benthamiana. RNAcentral's name for it is "long non-coding RNA (NBEN_LNC000306)". Lineage: Eukaryota; Viridiplantae; Streptophyta; Magnoliopsida; Solanales; Solanaceae. The record is from RNAcentral.